AUCGUGUCAGCCUUGGUAGGCGUGAUUGAGGUUUUAAUAACAUUGAAAGAUUCUCUGUUCCUUUUACCUCUCACCAACCAGGUCUGCAUUUCCAUGCUCAUCAAACACCUGUGCAGACUGUCUCUGAUUUGCAACUUGCUUCAGAUUGUGUCUCAGAUAUUAACCCCGGAUGUGACAAUAUAAGCUCAACAGACUGCCUUGGCCACCUUAGCAGACUCCUCACUGCGGUCAGAGCCUGCAGCCUCUCCCUACUCCCACUGGUCCUUGGCCAGCAGCUCCUGACACCCAGAGGAUUCAGCUUGGGGGUGAAAACAAAAGGCAAAAGAACACGUGAGGGAGAUGGCGCAGAGUUUGGAGAGCACUGACUCUGACUGCCUCUGAAUUUCUUGAAUUCUUCUGAGACCAAAAGAAGAAUAAAUCAAAGAAGAACUCUUACAUUGGUAUGUAGACACAUCCUAUUGAGAUGCCUAGAGUUACUGAUGGAAUCUUUCUUCACAGUGCUUUGUCUUAUUCAAAGUGCUUGAAGGUUGAUUUCUGCAAGGGGGGUGUUCUCCUGUCUGAUUUCCUCGACUUAAUGAUUUGGAAUAUGUGUGACAUAAAAAUGAGCAACGUAUGUGUUGAUGGC
This 625-nucleotide long non-coding RNA is filed under the name Equus asinus (donkey). RNAcentral's name for it is "lncRNA (ENSEASG00005029781.1)". The record is from RNAcentral. Lineage: Eukaryota; Metazoa; Chordata; Mammalia; Perissodactyla; Equidae.